CCUCGGGUGGCAGCAGUGGGGAAUAUUGGACAAUGGGCGAAAGCCUGAUCCAGCCAUGCCGCGUGUGUGAAGAAGGCCUUCGGGUUGUAAAGCACUUUCAGUGGGGAAGAAAGCCUUGGGGCUAAUACCCUCGAGGAAGGACAUCACCCACAGAAGAAGCACCGGCUAACUCCGUGCCAGCAGCCGCGGUAAUACGGAGGGUGCGAGCGUUAAUCGGAAUUACUGGGCGUAAAGCGCGCGUAGGCGGUCUGAUAAGCCGGUUGUGAAAGCCCCGGGCUCAACCUGGGAACGGCAUCCGGAACUGUCAGGCUAGAGUGCAGGAGAGGAAGGUAGAAUUCCCGGUGUAGCGGUGAAAUGCGUAGAGAUCGGGAGGAAUACCAGUGGCGAAGGCGGCCUUCUGGACUGACACUGACGCUGAGGUGCGAAAGCGUGGGUAGCAAACAGGAUUAGAUACCCGGGUAGUC
This 464-nucleotide ribosomal RNA is filed under the name Vreelandella stevensii. Its description in RNAcentral is "partial 16S ribosomal RNA". It matches the Rfam family "Bacterial small subunit ribosomal RNA", at positions 339 to 795 of the family's 1533-position model. Lineage: Bacteria; Pseudomonadati; Pseudomonadota; Gammaproteobacteria; Oceanospirillales; Halomonadaceae. The record is from RNAcentral.